Molecule: transfer RNA, 97 nt
Filed under: mine drainage metagenome
Description: tRNA-Sec
Rfam family: Selenocysteine transfer RNA
Source: RNAcentral
GGAAGAGACACGUUCCCCGGUGGGGCGCCCGGACUUCAAAUUCGGGUGAGGCUGCCAGGCAGUCUCAGGUGGGUUCGACUCCCAUUCUCUUCCGCCA